UCAGCGACGGAUAUCUUGGCUCGAGCACCUAUGAAGGGCGCAGCGAAGUGCGAUAAUCGUUGUGAAUUGCAGAACUCCGUGAACCAAUGGCCUCUUGAACGUGCAUUGCGCUCUUGGGAU
RNAcentral lists this ribosomal RNA (120 nucleotides) under Symbiodinium sp. Two0410-1. RNAcentral describes it as "partial 5.8S ribosomal RNA". It matches the Rfam family "5.8S ribosomal RNA", at positions 6 to 125 of the family's 154-position model. Rfam says of the family: 5.8S ribosomal RNA (5.8S rRNA) is a component of the large subunit of the eukaryotic ribosome. It is transcribed by RNA polymerase I as part of the 45S precursor that also contains 18S and 28S rRNA. The record is from RNAcentral. Lineage: Eukaryota; Dinophyceae; Suessiales; Symbiodiniaceae.